Molecule: ribosomal RNA, 494 nt
Filed under: uncultured bacterium
Lineage: Bacteria
Description: partial 16S ribosomal RNA
Rfam family: Bacterial small subunit ribosomal RNA
Source: RNAcentral
GACGAACGCUGGCGGCGCGCUUAAUACAUGCAAGUCGAACGGAAAGGCCUGCUUUCCCUUGUGGAUUGCGGGUACUCGAGUGGCGAACGGGUGAGUAACACGUGAGUGAUCUGCCCCCAACUUGGGUAUAAGCCUGGGAAACUGGGUCUAAUUCCCGAUAGGACUGCAGGGUGGUGCCUGUGGUGGAAAACGAUUUUCUAGUGGUUGGGGAUGAGCUCGCGGCCUAUCAGCUUGUUGGUGGGGUAAUGGCCUACCAAGGCGGCGACGGGUAGCCGGCCUGAGAGGGUGGACGGCCACAUUGGGACUGAGCUACGGCCCAGACUCCUACGGGAGGCAGCAGUGGGGAAUAGUGCACAAUGGGCGGAAGCCUGAUGCAGCGACGCCGCGUGGGGGAUGGCGGCCUUCGGGUUGUAAACUCCUUUCGACCGAGAGGAAGCCACCUGGUUGGAAGGGUGGUGACGGUAGUGGUAGAAGAAGCACCGGCUAACUACGUG